UACGUAGGGCGCAAGCGUUGUCCGGAAUUAUUGGGCGUAAAGAGCUCGUAGGCGGUUUGUCGCGUCUGCUGUGAAAACCUGAGGCUCAACCUCGGGCUUGCAGUGGGUACGGGCAGACUAGAGUGCGGUAGGGGUGACUGGAAUUCCUGGUGUAGCGGUGAAAUGCGUAGAUAUCAGGAGGAAUACCGGUGGCGAAAGCGACUCUCUGGACGGCAACUGACGCUGAGGCACGAAAGCGUGGGGAGCAAACAGG
RNAcentral lists this ribosomal RNA (253 nucleotides) under uncultured bacterium. RNAcentral describes it as "partial 16S ribosomal RNA". It matches the Rfam family "Bacterial small subunit ribosomal RNA", at positions 524 to 776 of the family's 1533-position model. The record is from RNAcentral.